Molecule: long non-coding RNA, 1130 nt
Filed under: Apis dorsata (giant honeybee)
Lineage: Eukaryota; Metazoa; Arthropoda; Insecta; Hymenoptera; Apidae
Description: uncharacterized LOC102673311, transcript variant X2
Source: RNAcentral
AAGCGAGCGGCCUACGAACAAGAGGAAACUCGUGGAAAUUUGGAUAUUCGACGGGAGAAAGUCGUCGUCGGCCAACUUCGAUAUCACGAUGGAAACCAGGAAAUCUUGUCCCCGGAUAUAAUUUAGCGGCUUGCCGUCUGUCCAAACAAACCGCCACCAGUCCACGAGUUUGCUCAGUGUCCACGCUGUGUAAUUCGAAAGGGAGGAAGGGAUUGUUGGAGACGUUGAAUUUUCGCAAAGGAGGCCGGCCAAGUUGUUCUCGCGGGCCGAGAUCAACGUCUUGAUACGUAAUAUCGAGGCGAGGGAGGGGGAGGCGGAUGUUGGAAAGAGGAGACCGCCGCUACCAGUGUAUUUCCUGCGCCAAAGCCUCGAAGGAGAGCCGGAAAUCAGUGAUGAGAGUGUGACUGUGAGAGAAUCAAUUCCAAUUGGUGGAGAAUUGCGAAGAAGAAAUUAUUAAGGAAAUUGUCUACUGUGCUUCUUAAUUAUAAAUUUAAUCAAAUUUGGAUACCAUCCAGAUUAUUCAUGGCGCUGUUAAGAGCGACCCCUAACAGCCGCUAACAGGCAAGGGAUGAAGAAAACUAACCGACGGAAAGUGAUUUUACCGACGCUUUUAUCUAACCAGGAUUAAACCCCAACUAUGUCUGGCUUGUCAUAAUCUCUUUCUACUUGUCCAAUUACACUAAUCUAAUUGUACCAAUGUUUCUCUCGCAUGCAUUUUGAUUUUCGAAUUGCAAUUGGCUAAAAAAAGAAAAAGUAUGCAAACAAUGGACACGCGUCCGUUAAACCAUCCCUUGGGAGAACUACUGCAAUCUGAGACGUGACCCUCUAAAACUGACAUUUCUCCAGACCACUUUAAAACAUCCAUUCCACGUUGUAUCGUAUUUUUAAGAGUUAAAAUAUUCGUGGAAUCUGUUUUUGUUAUGGGGAAUAUAUCAUGAAAAAUAUUUGGAACAUCAGAUACAUAUCUUAUCAAAGCACGUUAAUUUAUUAUAUCUCAUUUAUUAUUCAAUUUCUACUCGUAAAAUGAAAUGGUUGCAAAAAUGAUUGCACAAAUUUGAAACGAUAUUAAAAGUAUUCUAUUAUGAUAAACACAUAAAAGAAAAAUUAAUGUUUUCAGGAAAAUGAAAAAA